AAUUGGAGGGCAAGUCUGGUGCCAGCAGCCGCGGUAAUUCCAGCUCCAAUAGCGUAUAUUAAAGUUGUUGCAGUUAAAAAGCUCGUAGUUGAAUUUCGGGGUCAGUAGGUUGGUCGUGCCACAGGUAUGAACUGGUCUCACUGAUUCCUCCUUCCUGAUGAACCGUAAUGCCAUUAAUUUGGUGUUGCGGGGAGACUGGACUGUUACUUUGAAAAAAUUAGAGUGUUUAAAGCAGGCUCACGCUCGAAUACAUUAGCAUGGAAUAAUGAAAUAGGACGUUUGAUUCUAUUUUGUUGGUUUCUAGGAUCGACGUAAUGAUUAAUAGGGAUAGUUGGGGGGCAUUAGUAUUCAAUUGUCAGAGGUGAAAUUCUUGGAUUUAUUGAAGACUAACUACUGCGAAAGCAUUUGCCAAGGAUGUUUUCAUUAAUCAAGAACGAAAGUUAGGGGAUCGAAGACGAUCAGAUACCGUCGUAGUCUUAACCAUAAACUAUGCCGACUAGGGAUCGGAUGAUGUUAAUUUUUUAAUGACUCAUUCGGCACCUUACGGGAAACCAAAGUGU
RNAcentral lists this ribosomal RNA (560 nucleotides) under uncultured Glomus. RNAcentral's name for it is "SSU rRNA". It matches the Rfam family "Eukaryotic small subunit ribosomal RNA", at positions 546 to 1106 of the family's 1831-position model. The record is from RNAcentral. Lineage: Eukaryota; Fungi; Glomeromycota; Glomeromycetes; Glomerales; Glomeraceae.